Small nucleolar RNA from Jaculus jaculus (lesser Egyptian jerboa), 134 nucleotides. The record is from Ensembl. NCBI's taxonomy places the organism in Eukaryota, Metazoa, Chordata, Mammalia, Rodentia, Dipodidae.
UAUAGAAGUGUCAAAUUCAGUGCCUGCCAUACCAAUAGCAGGCCCUGGUCCAGAAGGCUGCUGUAGAAACACUGUGACUCAUGGGCUCUGUUCCUCUUCCUUGGGCUCAGGCAUAAAUUUAGUGACAGAUACCA